GACGAACGCUGGCGGCGUGCUUAACACAUGCAAGUCGAACGGAAAGGCCCUGCUUUUGUGGGGUGCUCGAGUGGCGAACGGGUGAGUAACACGUGAGUAACCUGCCCUUGACUUUGGGAUAACUUCAGGAAACUGGGGCUAAUACCGGAUAGGAGCUCCUGCUGCAUGGUGGGGGUUGGAAAGUUUCGGCGGUUGGGGAUGGACUCGCGGCUUAUCAGCUUGUUGGUGGGGUAGUGGCUUACCAAGGCUUUGACGGGUAGCCGGCCUGAGAGGGUGACCGGGCACGGGGGGGCUGAGAGCAGGCGCGGGGGCCGACGGGAGGCAGGAGUGGGGAGGCUGGAACAAAGGGCGGACGCCACAAGCAGCAAUGCCGUGUGCGGGAGAACGGGCCCAGGGAUCGGAAACGCAGUCACCUGUGACGUAGAGUGAAUGAAGGACACGAGAAGAGAGACACGGGCUAACAACGGG
RNAcentral lists this ribosomal RNA (468 nucleotides) under uncultured bacterium. Its description in RNAcentral is "partial 16S ribosomal RNA". It matches the Rfam family "Bacterial small subunit ribosomal RNA", at positions 28 to 507 of the family's 1533-position model. The record is from RNAcentral.